AUGGUCGUUUCUUUAAAACCUCAAAACCCCAACAACCCGGAAGCUGGACGUCUGAAGUCCACGCGGCCCGGGGUUUUCAUCCCGGCUCGUGCAGGGGGGCGGGGGGAGACGGCCGCGGGGUCUCUGGCUCUCCGCCCGGGCAGUCGCGGCGGCGGCGGCGGCGGCGGCGGCAGCGCCGCGCCCGGGGCCCGGGACCCGGGGCUACUUCCCGCGUUCCCGGGCCUCGCAGGCGCGAGCUCGGCGCGCGGCUCGGCUCGCAGGACGCCCUCUAGCCCUGCCGGCGGCGCGCCGCGGCCCCCCCACUCCCCGCCCACCGGCGGCUGCGCGCACUGCACACUCGCCUGCCGCCGCCGCACGCCGCCCGGCUCCUGCACGCCGCCGCCGCCGCUGCCGCCGCCGCCGCCGCCGCGCCGAGCGCCCGGGCCCGCGACGCCGCCCGCAGAGCGCCGGACCCAGCUACACGCAGCCGCGGUCGGGCGGCCCCGCGGCGGCGGCGGGCGCGGCGGGCGCGGGCGGCCUGGCCGGGGCCGGUUAAAGGGACGAGUUGCAAACAGUUCAGGAAGUGACAAGUCGAUUUCCUCCUCCCUGGGAGCCGCUCGGUACAAAGCGCUCGGCGCCGGCAGGAGAGCGUGCGCGCGGCGGACGCGCGGCGGGCAGCCCGGACGACUUGGCGAGCGCCGGCGGCGACGGCGCGGGGCCCGCGCCCGGAGCGCCCUGCCGCGCACAGGCGCUGACCACGCUCGGCCAUUGCCUGGAAGAGCCCCACCCGAGGGUGAGCAGCCCGUGGGGAGCUGCUUCUGCUGACAUCAUCACCCAGGAGGUGCCCAGGAGGUCGCCUCUGCCUGUGUUUCCACCCGAGGAUGGCCUGUGCCCGCCCUGGGCUGGCGCCCAGCGCCUGAGGUCCUUACCAUGGUGAUGAUCCUGAGUCAGAGCCUCGACAAGCAGGGAGCGGACCCCAUAGCAUGCAGGACCUUCAGCCCUGAGCUGCACACGCCAAAGAAGAUGAGUCAAGGACCGACACUUUUCUCUUGUGGAAUUAUGG
RNAcentral lists this long non-coding RNA (1042 nucleotides) under Sus scrofa (pig). RNAcentral describes it as "lncRNA (ENSSSCG00025029125.1)". The record is from RNAcentral. Lineage: Eukaryota; Metazoa; Chordata; Mammalia; Artiodactyla; Suidae.